RNAcentral lists this ribosomal RNA (642 nucleotides) under uncultured beta proteobacterium. RNAcentral describes it as "bacterial SSU rRNA". It matches the Rfam family "Bacterial small subunit ribosomal RNA", at positions 90 to 726 of the family's 1533-position model. Lineage: Bacteria; Pseudomonadati; Pseudomonadota; Betaproteobacteria. The record is from RNAcentral.
GACGAGUGGCGAACGGGUGAGUAAUACAUCGGAACGUGUCCGCUCGUGGGGGACAACCAGCCGAAAGGUUGGCUAAUACCGCAUGAGUUCUACGGAAGAAAGAGGGGGACCCGCAAGGGCCUCUCGCGAGCGGAGCGGCCGAUGACUGAUUAGCCAGUUGGUGAGGUAACGGCUCACCAAAGCAACGAUCAGUAGCUGGUCUGAGAGGACGACCAGCCACACUGGGACUGAGACACGGCCCAGACUCCUACGGGAGGCAGCAGUGGGGAAUUUUGGACAAUGGGCGCAAGCCUGAUCCAGCUAUUCCGCGUGUGGGAUGAAGGCCCUCGGGUUGUAAACCACUUUUGUAGAGAACGAAAAGACACCAUCGAAUAAAUGGUGUUGCUGACGGUACUCUAAGAAUAAGCACCGGCUAACUACGUGCCAGCAGCCGCGGUAAUACGUAGGGUGCGAGCGUUAAUCGGAAUUACUGGGCGUAAAGGGUGCGCAGGCGGUUGAGUAAGACAGAUGUGAAAUCCCCGAGCUUAACUCGGGAAUGGCAUAUGUGACUGCUCGACUAGAGUGUGUCAGAGGGAGGUGGAAUUCCACGUGUAGCAGUGAAAUGCGUAGAUAUGUGGAAGAACACCGAUGGCGAAGGCAGCC